GCACAAGCGGUGGAGUAUGUGGUUUAAUUCGAUGCAACGCGAAGAACCUUACCUGGUCUUGACAUCCCGGAGACCCUUAGGAAACUAGGGGUGCUUCCAUCUGGAAGAAUCUGGAGACAGGUGCUGCAUGGCUGUCGUCAGCUCGUGUCGUGAGAUGUUGGGUUAAGUCCCGCAACGAGCGCAACCCUUGCCAUUAGUUGCCAGCAGUUCGGCUGGGCACUCUAAAGGGACUGCCGGUGUUAAACCGGAGGAAGGUGGGGAUGACGUCAAGUCCUCAUGGCCUUUAUGACCAGGGCUACACACGUACUACAAUGGCCGAUACAAAGGGCAGCGACACUGCGAGGUGAAGCCAAUCCCGUAAAAUCGGUCUCAGUCCGGAUUGGAGUCUGCAACUCGACUCCAUGAAGUUGGAAUCGCUAGUAAUCGUGGAUCAGCAUGCCACGGUGAAUACGUUCCCGGGCCUU
RNAcentral lists this ribosomal RNA (464 nucleotides) under uncultured Desulfobulbus sp. RNAcentral's name for it is "bacterial SSU rRNA". It matches the Rfam family "Bacterial small subunit ribosomal RNA", at positions 923 to 1382 of the family's 1533-position model. Lineage: Bacteria; Pseudomonadati; Thermodesulfobacteriota; Desulfobulbia; Desulfobulbales; Desulfobulbaceae. The record is from RNAcentral.